Molecule: non-coding RNA, 20 nt
Filed under: Arabidopsis thaliana (thale cress)
Lineage: Eukaryota; Viridiplantae; Streptophyta; Magnoliopsida; Brassicales; Brassicaceae
Source: RNAcentral
ACUAAUCCAGGUUCAACAGU